Molecule: ribosomal RNA, 545 nt
Filed under: uncultured Ochromonas
Lineage: Eukaryota; Chrysophyceae; Chromulinales; Chromulinaceae
Description: bacterial SSU rRNA
Rfam family: Bacterial small subunit ribosomal RNA
Source: RNAcentral
AUGGCGUACAGGUGAGUAAUGUACAAGAAUCUACCUUAAAGUUUGAAAUAAUCAUAUUUUUUUAAGAAUGCUACGCAGUGAUAACUUCAAUAAAAGUAAAAUACUGCUUUAAGAUGAGCUUGUAUAGGAUUAAGUUGUUGGUAAGGUAAUGGCUUACCAAGCUGAUGAUCCUUAGCUGGUCCGAGAGGACGAUCAGCCACACUGGGACUGAGAUAAGGCCCAGGCUUUUAGCCAGCAGUGAGGAAUUUUGGACAAUGCGCGAAAGCGUGAUCCAGUAAUACUGCGUGAAUGAGGAAAGCAAAAAAGGUUUAUAAGCGUUUUAAGUUUAUAGAUCGGUUGUAAAAUUCUUUCGCUAAGUAGGAUUGUGACUUUAUUUGGAGAAGAAGCCCCGGCUAAUUUCGUGCCAGCGGCCGCGGUAAUACGAAAGGGGCGAGCGUUAUCCGGAAUGAUUGGGCGUAAAGAGUUCGUAGGCGGUAUUUGUUGUUACAUGUUAAAUCCUAGGUUUAUACUUAGGUCUGCGUGUAAUACUCUUUUACUUGAGUAUA